UCCACAGUAGCUCAGUGGUAGAGCUAUCGGCUGUUAACCGAUCGGUCGUAGGGUCGAGUCCUACCUGUGGAGCCA
This 75-nucleotide transfer RNA is filed under the name Staphylococcus aureus. RNAcentral describes it as "tRNA-Asn(gtt)". It matches the Rfam family "tRNA". From Rfam's summary of the family: Transfer RNA (tRNA) molecules are approximately 80 nucleotides in length. Their secondary structure includes four short double-helical elements and three loops (D, anti-codon, and T loops). Lineage: Bacteria; Bacillati; Bacillota; Bacilli; Caryophanales; Staphylococcaceae. The record is from RNAcentral.